CGCCUCUUACCCUUUAUCUGAGAUACCGGCGGAUUUUGCCAGCCUCCUCGAAUUCUUCUUACCUUUUGUCCUGCGUUGCACGCCGGGGAAAGGAAUUCUGGGAUCGUGUGUUAUGCUGAUGCAAAAUGUUUUUAAGAAGUAAAGAAGUUGUAAAACAAUGGAUACAAGUGUAUAUUUAUAAUACAAGAAAUGACGAUUCUGAAAAAGAAGCUGAUGACCAGAAUAAGGGAUAGGAAGAUGACCUGUUUGCUUGAAGAGCGAGGGAGAGUAAUAGCUCAGAGAAUCUCUGAAAAAGAUCUCUAGAAAAAUCUCUAGAAAAGACAAGGAAACAGAUUAUCCCCUAGAGCCUCCAGAAGGACUCUCGCCCUAUUUCCAGCACGGGUGUACCCAACAUGGUUCUCACUGGAAUUACAGCAAAUUGGAAGACAGUGGUGGUGACACAGGGUGAAGAACUACUUUUCAGAGGGUGAAACACAAGACUGGCUUUUAGGAAUUUUCCCCCAAAGUAAUUUGUGACUGGAUCCUGUUGCCGAAACUUGGCCUCUGUUCACCGGUGCCGAAGAGGAACGCGGAGACAGAGUUUUGGGUGAAGUAGAAAAGAGUAGCUUUUAUUGCUUUGCCAGGCAGAGGGGGCCACGGCGGGCUAAUGCCCUCAAGACUGUGUGACCCACCCUGGAGGGCGUAGUGAGGAGUCUUACAGCGUCCGAGGAGCAGGGCGUGAUCAGCUCGCGGACAGUUCUCAGACUGGCUGGCAUCAAGGGGAAGUUUCAAGCGUCAUCAACUUUCUGGUUUCUGGUUUCAGCCAGUCCAGGGUCUAUGUGCUUGUGGGCAGCACUUUCCAUCUGGAGGGGGUCUGCUCCCUGUAAAACCACUUAGGAGUGUGUGUCAGGCCUUUAUCUGUAGCUUCAGUGAACUGGGAGUUCGGUGAUUCCGCCAUGUGGCGGAUUUAGAGUCUAAAUUGUUGCCCGUUCCCCAGCCCAACAGCUGUUCUUUGUUUCUACACCUUCACAUUCCCUAAUCAUUAAGUCUUUACUUCAAAAGACAAGGACACGGGGGCUCGUACACGGUUUCAACCCUGACCAGGUCUGAGACUUAACACGAUGCAUAUGCUGUUGUUUUCAUAAACGUUAACGUCCAUAAAAUGAAGUUCUUAAAAGCA
Molecule: long non-coding RNA, 1159 nt
Organism: Balaenoptera ricei (Rice's whale)
Lineage: Eukaryota; Metazoa; Chordata; Mammalia; Artiodactyla; Balaenopteridae
Exons: 5
Source: RefSeq, a predicted model, not a curated record